Non-coding RNA from Lupinus albus (white lupine), 305 nucleotides. NCBI's taxonomy places the organism in Eukaryota, Viridiplantae, Streptophyta, Magnoliopsida, Fabales, Fabaceae. The record is from the annotation of a GenBank genome assembly.
GAUAUAGUGUUCCGAAUGCACUAUUCCUUCUUUCUCUUUCAUUCUCUCACGCUCUCUCCCUUUUAUUAUAGAUAUUAUGCUUCUGCAAGAAGAUUUGAAAUCAUAGAAAGGAUGAAGUUGUGAUGACAGCGACAAUGGUUGAAGUCACGACGGUAGAGAUGGCCGUUGAAGUUUUGACGGCGGCAAAGAUGAAGGUUUGGAGAAAGAUGAGAAAGGUUUCUAUUGAAUUUGAAAAGAUGUGUAUUUAAAUAUAUUUUUUAAUAUUUGUUGUUGUUUAUAGUUCAUCACCUUUCUUACUAAAUGAC